RNAcentral lists this long non-coding RNA (29058 nucleotides) under Populus trichocarpa (black cottonwood). Its description in RNAcentral is "long non-coding RNA (PTRI_LNC002684)". The record is from RNAcentral. Lineage: Eukaryota; Viridiplantae; Streptophyta; Magnoliopsida; Malpighiales; Salicaceae.
CCCGAGAAGAUACUGUUCUUGACAUAUGAGGAAAUGAAGAAAGACACCGCUGCUCAUGUUAAGAAAUUAGCUGAGUUCAUGGGUUGUUCUUUCACCCUAGAGGAAGAGGAGGAAGGGGAGGUGCAAAAGAUAAUAGGCAUGUGUAGUUUUGAGAAGUUGAGCAACUUGGAGGUGAAUAAAAAUGGGAAGUGCCUUCUAGACAUAUCAAUUCCUAUUCCAAAUAGUAUAUUCUUCAGGAAAGGUGAGAUAGGCGACUGGGCAAAUCACUUGACACCUGAAAUGGGAGCACGUCUAGAUGACAUAAUGGAGCGGAAGCUCAAGGGUUCAGGCUUGAAGCUGCCCAGGUGACUGUGCCUGGGCCCCGUUUGCUUAUUAUUAUUGGCUUAGUGGGUUCGUCAAAAGCUGUUAUCAACAUCUCGUGAAACAGCAACCGUGUAUCCCAAUAAAUACCCUCUCUGUUCAUCUCUUGUAUUUCCUAGCAAGUAUUCACAUUUUGUGAAUCAUCCAUGUCAAUAAGCAAUAUUCUUUUGUGAAUCUGUGUUUGUAACUUUCAUUGAUUUCCUUGCAAGUUUGUAAGAAUUAAAAAUGGGAUUCGUUUUUUAUUUAUUUAUUUAACACAAGUGCAUGCAUUCCAUUAAUCAGUGAUAAAAAAAAAUAAAAUUACUCUACUAUAUAAUAUUAGAGUGUUUUCUUCACAGAAAUUGCAGUGUGUUUUCUUCACACUGCAAUACAUGUUUUAAAAGAACCGAGACAACCAUACAUGAGGGCGGAGCAAAUACCAACCGAGACAACCAUCCAUUAAGAUUGUUGAAUUGAAGAUCAAAUGAACAUAGGCGGCACAUCUGCUGAAAGGAUCUCGAAAUGCCUUGUAAUUGGUUAAAAUAAAGAUCAAGAUCUGUAGGAGAACUCGUGUUUUCCACUCCUAAAAUAAGCCCAGUUGCCGGCUUCAUGUGCAACAGAGGCACAUAGAGAAUCUCCCCCCCCCCCCCUCCAGGCUCAGAUCACAAAUCUUCUUACUUCAAACCAAUCUUUUGGAACCGAUAUAUAUGUCGAGUGAUGGCUUGAUUUAUACCGGAGAUUGUGUUGGAAAAUUAAAGAAGCAUGGCUUAAUUUGUACCUUGGAUGCGCAAAUUGAUUACAGGAAAAUAUCAAAAAAAAAUUUCCUUUCUUUAUAACUUAUGAAGAGUAAAAUAAAAAAAAAGUUAAUAGUAAAACAAAAUAACCCCAAGUGUACAUUAUCAAUGCAAAACUAGAUUUUUCCUUAUUUUAUAUCCCUUUCUUUUGAUAUACUUCUUCUUUUAUGCCCCUUUCUUUUGGUAUAUCUCUUCUUUGUAUCUUUUGGUGUUAAUCACUUUGUUGAAUGCCUCUGUUGAUAUCUUUUAUAACUCACUACAGUGAUUUGAACAUUGAAAAUGUUUCCUUUUAAAAAAAAAAAAUAGAGAAGGCAUUUUGAUUUCAUCUUCAAUUUUUCUGCAUGUCUUCUUCUUUCAAAGUAUUGGGUUUAAAACACAAUCAUGCUCUACAUCAUGCUUUGAGUUUUCCAGGUUAUUUUCAGAAAGAUUUGAUAUAUUUGACCUGAAAGAAAAAAAGGAUGUACAAAGCUUUGCAUUUCUGGAACGUCUUUUCAUCAUGCUCUACAUGAUUCAAUCACAUUGCUCACAUCUACAUGAGUAACCAGAAAAGCAAGUAUUUCAUCGGAUUCUACAUGAUUCGAUCACUUCGCUCACAGCUUUAUGAGUCUCUGGUGAUAUCGUGUUUAAUUAAAUAGAAUAUUUAUUAUAAGAAACAGAUUUAUCAAAUAUAAUUGAGUAUAUGCCUCAUCAUAUCAAAUAUUUUAAUUAGAUGUAACUAUCUAGGUGGUGGUUCAGUGGUAAAAGUUUGGGACCAAGAUGUUUGUUCCCUCUGUGGUCUCAGGUUCGAGCCCUGUGGUUGCUCAUAUGAUGGUCAUUGGAGGCUUACAUGGUCGUUAACUUCAGGGCCCGUGGGAUUAGUCAAGGUGCACGCAAGCUGAUCCGGACAUCCAUGUUAAACUAAAAAAAUAUAUAUAUUUUAAUUAGAUGCGUGUGUACAAGUAUUUUAAUUUAUGAUUAAGAAUUUUUUUAUAUCAAAAAAAAAUUAAAAAGUCUGUAUAUUUAUUUUUCCUUGUUAAAACAAUUAUCUGAAAUAGCCAGUAAUCAACUAACUAUGAAAGAUAAGAUUGAGAAUUGAGAAGUUUAUUUGUCAGCAGACAGUAGCUUCAGUAGAUGGAAAAAGACUCUCUAGAUCACCGGAUCAAUUCCCACCUUCAUGAACUAUUUUUUAUUAGUACAGAAAGCUUCAUAUCAGUCAAAACUCUCUCUCUCUCUCUCUCUCUCUCUCUCUCUCUCUAAAUGGAUCAGAGACUACACAAAUAUAGAGGUGGAGCUUCACAUUAAGCUUCAGAUCAAUUUUCUAUUUUAAAAUCUCAUAAGUUUGGUCCAUUGAUUGCCCUAGAUUGCCCUAGAUUUUCCUGUGUUUUAUAUCCUUUUCUUUUGACAUUUUUUUUAAUCUUUUUCCAGGCCAAAAUCCUAAUUUAAUGUUUGAAAUUGAGAUGAUAAUUAUUUAACUAGAAAAUAUAUUAAAAUAAUAUUUUUUAUUUUUAAAAAUUUAUUUUAAUCAUCACCACAUUAAAACAAUCUAAAAUUAUAUAAAAAAAUUAAAAUAAUAAGAUUUAAAAAUAUUUUUUAAACACAAAAACAAACACAAUCAUCACUCAUAUAUCAUGAGAUUUGCAUUUAGACAUUAAAAUUCAAGAAGAAAUUAAGUUCACCGUACUAUUAAUUCAGUCGAUGAAGGAUUAGUCCCAACUACUUUAGGCCACCAUUAAUUACUUUAUUUAAAUGUAUACUUCUUUAUUAAUUCAGUCGAUGAAGGAUUAGUCCCAACUACUUUGGGCAUUUUAACUCCAUCUUCAAUUACUUUAUUUAAAGGUAUCCUUCUUUCUUAGAUAUUGAAUUUUGAAAACACAAUCAUGCUAAAGAUUUGUCAACGAAUUGUUUUUUAAAAUAAAAAAAUAUUUUAAAAAAUAAUUAAUACCAUACUACCGAGCAAAUGAAGUUAUGUGGAGGGUUCCGCACCAUUUAAAGGUUGUAAAGAAAGGUUUAAAACACAAUGACGAUAAAGAUUUGCUAUCGAAUAUAAUAUGAAAUAAUAAUACCCAAUUGCAUCAGCGGACAUGUGAUCAACAAUAUUAAAAUUCUGUAAAUUUUGAUUUAAUUCAAUUAUUGGAAUUCCAGGCAGCGUGGCAAUGUCAGAAAAUCUUGGACGAUGGUGACUAAAUGUUUGUAAAUGGAGACGGCACGUUCGCGGAAGGUAAUAGUCGAUGGUGCCAAAAAUUAAAUCAGCUCUCAACUCGUUACAAAUAGCUGCCAUGGCCUUUCAUUCUACAUUAUUUUUUCUUUUUUCACAUUCAUGGAAUCCUCUUUGCCUUCCACCCAAAUCUUGGAUUCUGGUGAAAGUGCUGAGAGGAAAAAUGAAGCUAAAAAUUACAAUGAAGUCAUGUCCACCCUUCCAAAAGUAAAAGGCUUGAAUGGGUGUGAUUAUUACCUGUACCAAUGCUUUUGGUACGAUCCCUCCUUCUUGGAAGGAAUCAUGUCUGUUCAAGAGCGCUUCAAUCCUCAAUCCACUGAUAUAUUUCUCGCCAGUUUUCCAAAAACUGGCACAACUUGGCUUAAGGCCCUCACUUUUGCUAUUUGUACACGAUCCCGUUUAAGUGGUUCAACAACUAGUUCUUUACUUUCCAAGAUGCCACAUGACUGUGUUCCUUUUAUGGAAUAUGACCUUGCUCAGAACCCAAGUAAUCGGGACUUGGCAAUUCCUCUGGUAUCUACUCAUGUUCCUUACACUUGUUUACCUAAAUCUAUCAUUUCUUCUUGUUGCAAGAUUAUUUACAUUUGCAGGGACGCAAAGGAUGUUUUUGUUUCUUUGUGGUACUUUCUUGCCAGGCUGCAAAUGUCUGAAAAUGUUGAGCCUCUUCUUCUGGAAGAGGCUUUUGAGUUGUUUUGCAAUGGAAUUGCAAAUUUUGGACCCUACUGGAACCAUGUUUUAGGGUACUGGAGAGCAAGCUUGGAGUUCCCCGAGAAGAUACUGUUCUUGACAUAUGAGGAAAUGAAGAAAGACACCGCUGCUCAUGUUAAGAAAUUAGCUGAGUUCAUGGGUUGUUCUUUCACCCUAGAGGAAGAGGAGGAAGGGGAGGUGCAAAAGAUAAUAGGCAUGUGUAGUUUUGAGAAGUUGAGCAACUUGGAGGUGAAUAAAAAUGGGAAGUGCCUUCUAGACAUAUCAAUUCCUAUUCCAAAUAGUAUAUACUUCAGGAAAGGUGAGAUAGGCGACUGGGCAAAUCACUUGACACCUGAAAUGGGAGCACGUCUAGAUGACAUAAUGGAGCGGAAGCUCAAGGGUUCAGGCUUGAAGCUGCCCAGGUGACUGCGCCUGGGUCCCAUUUGCUUCUGAUUAUUGCCGAAGUGGGUUCAUCAAAAGCUGUUAUCAACAUCUCGUGAAACAGCAACUGUGUAUCCCAAUAAAUACCCUCUCUGUUCAUCUCUUGUAUUUCCUAGCAAGUAUUCACAUUUUGUGAAUAAUCCAUGUGAAUAAGCAAUGUUCUUUUGUGAAUCUGUGUUUGUAACUUUCAUUGAUUUCCUUGCAAGUUUGUAAGAAUUAAAAAUGGGAUUCGUUUUUUAUUUAUUUAUUUAACACAAGUGCAUGCAUUCCAUUAAUCAGUGAUAAAAAAAAAAAAAUUACUCUACUAUAUAAUAUUAGAGUGUUUUCUUCACAGAAAUUGCAGUGUGUUUUCUUCCCACUGCAAUACAUGUUUUAAAAGAACCGAGACAACCAUACAUGAGGGCGGAGCAAAUACCAACCGAGACAACCAUCCAUUAAGAUUGUUGAAUUGAAGAUCAAAUGAACAUAGGCGGCACAUCUGCUGAAAGGAUCUCGAAAUGCCUUGUAAUUGGUUAAAAUAAAGAUCAAGAUCUGUAGGAGAACUCGUGUUUUCCACUCCUAAAAUAAGCCCAGUUGCCGGCUUCAUGUGCAACAGAGGCACAUAGAGAAUCUGAAAGCAGUUUUUAUGCACUAUCAGCAGAAUAAUUUGAUCAGUCAGAAUGAUCCCCCCCCCACUAGGCUCAGAUCACAAUUCUUCUUACUUCAAACAAAUCUUUUGGAACCGAUAUGUGGAGGGAUGGCUUGAUUUAUACCGGAGAUUUUGUUGGAAAAUUAAAGAAGCAUGGCUUAAUUUGUACCUUGGAUGCGCAAAUUGAUUACAGGGAAAAAAAUGACAGAAAGUGAGUUGCAGGGAAUGAAAAAGGCAUUAGUAAACUCAACAGCUUGCAGGGCAUCGUUCCUUGGUUUACUCCGUUUUAUUUCUUAUUUUGUUUUUCCUGCCAUUGUCUUAUGUUUGUCUAACUCGCAGUCUGGUCUCUGCAGAGAAUGAGAAAGCACAGACUCUUUAAGAGAAGAUAUUCUCCGGCAAUGGCAUCAAACAGAAAAGUCCGACGUUAACUAAAUGAGUUCAUGGGUCUCUUGUCUGAAUAUAGAAGUGCAGAAACUAAGCUUGACCAAAAACCCCCAUGCUACCAACUACAACUCAACAAGCAACAAAUCAAAUGAAUUGUGAUCCGCCAGUAAACAGCGAAUGGACACUGCCCCAGCAAUAGAUCAUACAAGCUCUGACCAACCGGUCAAAGAUCACGAGGACCCUACCCACUGCCCACUGACUGACAAUUCAUCAAAUAGAUUUAUUGCCGUUCACCACCUUAUUUAGAUGUAUUUUUAAAUAAUAUCCGUGAACUCAAAAAAAAAUCACUCAAAUAUCUCCCUAGAAAACUGACCUUGAACUCUUAACUAGGAGAAAAACAAAGAGGAAAAAUAGAGCUUAUAACAUAGGAAACUACGCUGAAAACUGAGGUGAAAAAAAGUGUAAGAAAUUCUGUAAAAAUGUCCAGAAACACUUUUUAUCACUUUUUACAGAGGAUUUUGAAACCUAAACCAAUGUAGAUUUACUUUUAGUAAUUAUUAAAAAUUAAUUUUUAUCAUUAUCAAUCUUAAUUAUCCGUUAUAAAUUAAAAUUAACCUUAACCCUUUUAGCUUUAAAUAUAAUGCUUUGUUAGAAUUAUAAAAACCAUUCAAAUUGAAAAAAAUUGCUUAGGCUGAAAAAAGUGUUCAGACUCUAUAUUCAUUGACAGUACAAACUGAUGGAUUAGAAAGAAAAAAAAUAUAUAGGCCAAAAAAUUAUAAAUCCAAACCCAAGUUUAAAAUAUAUUGAUAAAAAUUAAUUAUUUAUAGUUUACAAUAAAAUCAGACUUGGGACAAGCAAGCCAAUUAAGCAUGGGACUUCAACUCAAAGUUUACUUUACUUAGGUUUUUUUUUUUAAUCUGAGUGUAUUUUAAUCCAAUUUUAAUUCUUUAUAUUUUUAAUAUAUAAUUAACAAUAAAAAUGUUGUUUUUUUUACGUGAAAUAAAGGUUUUGAAUUUCACAAAGAUAUAUUCAUCAACAAAAUUAAAUUUUUAUUUAUUUAUAAUUUAUUUUAAUUAUUUUAAUAUUUUAUGUUAAAGAGAUUUGGUUGGAGAAUAAGUUUCAAUAAAAUUUAAAUCCGAAAAAUAAGUAGAUUUUAUUUUUAAUUUUAUUUCAAAUAUAUUUAUUUUUUAUGUUUUAAAACAAAUUUUAUCUCAUCUAUGUAUGUAUAAAUAUAUAAUCACAAUUCUCAAUACAGCACUUAUAGUUAGUUAUCGAACGAAAGAAUGUUAUCUCUUUCAGUAUGCCACAGAUAUUCAAAACACGGCGGUCACCCUUAUUAGCUUGCAGUCGUCUAUCGAAGUAUUAUCGCCAAAUCCACAGAAGCAAGGCAAACCACAGUUUUCUCUAGUUAUAGGACUAGACGGUACUGCGCUAGACUGCAGGUUUACAAUAUUUUUUCGAUAAAAUAUUUAAAUCAUGAGAAAAUCAUGCAUGAUUAAAAGAGUAAAAUUCAAAUUAAAAAUAUCAAUACAUGACAAAAUAAAAUUAAAAAAAAUUAAAUAAAAUUUUUAUAAAAAAACUAGAAUAAAAGAGAGGACUGAAACCGAAAAAGUUUAAACAAAAAGGACAUACCUGCAAUUUGAGGGGGGGAGGGAGGAGGAGAAAAAAAAAGGUUCAUCAACAACGAACUGCUCGACCUUCACCUACAUGUAUCGCACCAUGAGAAAGAGGAAGCAGUGAUGCUUCCAACAACACAAUAAAAUGUUUAUUUUUACAACUAGAGGUAUUGCAUGCUAUACUUGAAGUGCUAGCUUUUUAAAUUUUAAUAUUAUUUAUUUUUUUGUUAAAAGAUUACAAUGCGCAAACUAAAAAGAAAAACAAUAUAAAAAGAUAAAGUAUAACCUUGACCUAAAGCUUUUCUUUUUCUUUUUACUUCAAGGAUAUUUAAGUAAGUUUAGUGUACAUUCAAAAGCAUUUAAUGAAAUACCCUUCGACCAAGGUUUUUUUUUUUUUUAAAGUAUAAGACACUUAACAAAAUAAUAAAUAACAAAAAUUAAAAACUUAAAAAGACAAAAAAUACCCUUCGACCAAGGUUUUUUUUUUUUACUCCAAAGCAUUUAAUGAAUCUCGCCCAUAACGACAGCAAGUCUUUAAAAAGUGGAUUUCCUGAUGAAACCUGGAUAGUAUCAGUGCCAGCUCGAGCUCAGAAUGCGGCAUCUAUUGAUUAACUUACCAGUUACCAACACAAGGAGACACACACAACAACUUUAAAAAGGGCAUUAUAUAGCUAAACAUUGAUUAUUAUUUUUAUUUCAUUUUUAAUAUUAUAUUAAUUUUAAAUAUAUAUAUUUUUAAUUUCUCCAUUCAAUAACAAGUUGAAAUUCAUAAUUUUAUUUAAUUCAUUUCUUAUAAUAAUUUUUUUCCCAUCGUUUAAUUAAAUAAAAUAUUUAUUAUAAAAAAUAAAAUUAUUAAACAUAAUUGAGUAUAUGGCUUGUAUUUUUAGGUUAAAUAUUGUAAUUAGAUGUGGGUAUAAGCAUUUUAAUUUAUAAUUAAAAAGAAAAACUAUAUCCAAAAAAGAAUUUAAAAAACCUGUAUAUUUAUUUUUCAAUUAUCUAACCUGCAGCAGUGAAGUGCAAUUGAAAUAGCUAGUAAUCUAACUAAAAAAUUUAAGAUAAGAUUAAGAAAUGAGAAGUUUAUUUGUCAGCAGACAGUAGCUUCAGUAAAUAGAAAAUAUAGACUGUACUGCUGCUGAUCCCGGGAUCAAUGCCCACCUUCAUGGAUUAUAUAUAUAUAUAUAUAUAUAUAUAUAUUCAAUGUGAGAUAUUAAGUCAUUUAGUACAUACUAGUUAGAUGACUUGUGCGGUGCUGCGAGUUAAUUUUUUUUGCAUAAAAAUAUAUAAAAAAACUAAAAUCUAAAAGUAUUAGGUCUUUUUGCAAAGUUAUACCCAAGAAUCUUGGGUUUGGCUGCAACGCCUGACCCAAGAGUAAUAUUUAUAAUAUUAAUUAUAACAUUAAACUUGCAUGACUCAAGUUUAAAUGAGUCUAGAUGCAAUACCAUACCCAAUAGUCUUGGAUGUGGGUCUGGCUGCAAGGUCGUGUAAUAAAAGUGUGAUAAUUAAAUAGAUUAAUUAAAAAUAAAAAAAACAAAGAAAAAAACAAACAUGAAGAAAAAAACUAAUGAAGAAAAAGAAAAAAAAUUUGAAUUAACUGGGUUAACCCUUCAAACCAGGUUAAUCCGUCAAACCUUGGAUUCGUGUCGUGAAAGUUUGAUAACUAAAUAAAAAAAAAAUGAACAUUAACAAACUAAAUUAAAUGAAAAAAAUAAUUAAAAAAAAAAGCAUCAGCCUUUUCACUGUGGACUGCACUGUGCAGUCCACAGUCAAAUGCAUAAAAACAACAAAAAAGCAAAAAGAAAAACUAAAGGCAUCAAUCGAUAACUAAAUAGAAAAAAAAUUUAAUAUUGAUGAACUAAAUUAAAUAAAAAAAAUUAAAUAAAAAGAAGAAAAAACUUAUAAGAAGAAAAAAACUAAUGAAGAAAAAGAAAAAAAAUCUAAAUUAACUGGGUUAACCCGUCAAACCUGAGAUCCGUGUCAUGAAAGUCUGACAACUAAAUAAAAAAAAUUUAAUAUCAAUAAACUAAAUAAAAAAAUUAAUUUAAAAAAAAGGCAUCAGCCUUUUCACCGUGGAUUGCACUGUGCAGUCCAUAGUGAAAGGCAUGAAAAUAAAAAAAACAAAAAAAAACUAAAGGCAUCAGCCUUUUCACUGUGGACUGCAUAGAAUAUUAAAAGAUGAAAUCGGAAGAACAAAACUAAUGAGGAAAAAGAAAAAAAAAAUCUGAAUCAACUAGGUUAAUCCGUCAAAUCAAGUUAACCCGUCAAACUUGAAAGUGUGAUAACUAAAUAGAAAAAAGAUUUAAUAUUAAUGAAAUAAAUUAAAAAAAGAUUAAUUAAAAAGGAAAAAAGCAAAGAGAAAAAAGACCAACAGGAAGAAAAAAACCUAAUGAAGAAAAAGGAAAAAAAUCUGAAUUAAGUGGGUUAACUGGUCAAACCUGGGAUUCGUGUCAUGAAAAUCUGAUAAUUAAACAGAAAAAAUUUAAUAUUAAGAAACUAAAUUAAAAAAAGACUAAUUAAAAAAAGACAAAAAAAAACUAAAGGCAUCAGCUUUUUCACUCUUAAAAAGGAAAAGAGAGAAAAAUAAAAACAAAAGCAAACGCCACGGGUUAAUUUUUUUUUUCUUGCAUAAAAAAUAUUAAAAAAAACUAAGAUCUAAGAGUAUUAGGUCUUUCUGCAAAGAUAUGCCCAAGAGCCUUUGGUUUAGUUGCAACGCUUGACCCAAGAGUAAUAUUUAUAAUAAUAAUAAUAAUAAUAAACUUACAUGACUCAAGUUUAAGUGAGUCUGGCUGCAAGGUCGUGUCAUAAAAGUGUGAUGAUUAAAUAUAUUAAUUAAAAAGAAAAAAACCAACAUGAAGAAAAAAACUAAUGAAGAAAAAGAAAAAAAUAUGAAUUAACUGGAUUAACCCUUCAAACCAGGUUAACCCGUCAAACCUGAGAUUCAUGUUAUGAAAGUUUGAUAACUAAAUAGAAAACAAAAUUGACGGGUUAACCUGUCAAGCCUGGGAUACGUGUCAUGAAAGUCUGAUAAUUAAAUAGAAAGAAAUUUAACAUUAACAAAAUAAACUAAACGAAAAAAAAUUAAUUUAAAAGAAAAAAAGUAAAAAAAAAAUUCUAGGUUAACUCAUCAAACCAAAUUAACCCAUCAAAUCCGGGAUCCGUGUCAUGAAAGUCUGAUAACUAAAUAAAAAAAAUAACAUUAACAAACUAAAUUAAACAAAAAAAAUUCAUAAAAGAAAAAAAAACACAGAAAAAAAACAAAAAAAACAUAAAGGCAAAAAAAACAAAAACAAAAUUAAGUGAGAAUUACUGAUGUGCUUUGCCAAGCUUUGCAACAGAAAUCUCAAGACAUUUUAAAUGCUAUGCAUUUGCUGACUACCAUAAAGACUUUAAUUCAGAAGUUAAGAGAUGAUGGAUUGGAAACUCUUUUAGAACAAGUGACAUCAUUUUGUAAGCAUAAAAACAUUGAAGUUCCUGAUAUGGAUGCUUGUUUUUCUAGUGUGGGACGAUCUCGCUGUAAAACAAAAUCAAUAACAGUUGAGCAUCACUAUCGAGUUGAUAUAUUUAUAGCUAUCAUUGAUCAAUAGUUGCAAGAGCUAAAUAAUAGAUUCUAUGAGCAGGCGAUCGAGCUUCUUAAGUUGAGCAUAGCUUUAGAUCCUAAAAAUAACUAUAAAUUAUUCAGUGUUGAAGAUAUAUGCUAACUUGUUGACAAGUUCUAUCCUGAAGACUUUUCUGACCAAGAAAAAACUCAUUUGAGAUUUCAGUUGCAGCAUUAUGAGCUUGAUGUACCCAAUCAUCCAAAGUUAAAGAAUAUGUCAUCGAUUGCUGAUUUAUGUCAAGGACUGGUUGAAAUAGAAAAAUCAACAAUUUAUCUACUCAUUGAUAAGUUGAUUCGACUUAUUUUGACUCUUCCUGUUUCGACAGCAACUACUGCACGAGCUUUUUCAGCGAUGAAGAUUGUUAAAACAAGACUUCGCAAUCGGAUGGAGGAUGAUUUUCUUGCAAAUUAUUUGAUUGUCUAUAUAGAAAAAGAAAUUGCUGAAAGAUUCACAAUUGAUAUGAUAAUCGAUGAUUUCUACUCCAUGAAAGAAAGACAAAAACAAUUAAAAUAAAUAUGUAAGAAUCAUUCUUUAUUACUUUUUAUUUUAUUUAAAAGUUUUAUCAAACAUAAAUAAUGUAUCGCUUUAGCUAAUGUUUCUUAUAUAUUUUGUAUGUUUAUAUUUGAUAGGUACAAAAACCAACAAAAUUAAAGUGAUGAAUACAUUAUGAAGAUGAAAUUAACUUCAUAGCUUUGACUUAAUUUGAUAUUUGCUUUAAACAUCUUAUCUUAUACAAAAAUCAUAAUAUGUUUGUAAUUACUUUUUUGAAUAAAACUAAAUCAUGUCGUUUUUGUUUUUGUUUUUAUUUUUAUUUUUAUGUAAAGUAAAUUUUUAAAUAAAUUAUAUCUUUUAUUAUUUUAACCCCCAUUCAAAUAAUCCCAGCCCCUGACCGCAAUAACAAUCAAAAUAAAAUCUAAUUCUACCGGCUGCUAAGAAUACUAAAAUAGUGUAAAUUUUGACUUAAUUCAAUUAUUAGAAUUCGGGGCAGAUAACAGUGUUGAAGAAAAUGUCAGAAAAGUAGGGUAAACAGUACAAAUACCUUGGAUGAUGGUGACUAACGCCGUUUGUUUACGCGGGCGCGGGUGCGGUUGCCUUUUAAUUAAUAAAUAUCGGUAGUUGGAGACUUCUUGUUCUCGAAAAGAAAUAGUUAAUAGUGCCAAUAAUUAAUCUGCUCUCAACUUGCUACAAGCUGUCAUUACUCAUUACCAAAAUAUUAAAGAAACAAAUAUUUCCUAUUAGUAGAAAAGCGAUCUAAUAAAGCGAUUGUUCAGUUGACGUUAUUGAAUUGCUUUUUUAUAAAAAGUUAAUUUUUAAAUAUUUAUAGAUUAUUUUAUAUAUAAAUUUAAAAAAAAUCUUAAAAAAUUUAAAAAUAUAUUUUAAUAUAAUUAAAAAAAACAUUUGAAAAACAAUUAAUAGUAUAGUCUCAGGUCUCAACCACCCAAAAUAUACAUUUGAAAAACAUUUUAUAUACCUUGGAUUAAAUUGUGUUGUAGGUUCCACACCAUUUAAAGCUUGCAAAGAAGGAUUUAAAACACAAUCACGCUAAAGAUUUGCAAUCCAAUAUAAUAUGAAAUAAAACCCCAUUGCAUCACCGGACAUGUGAUCAAUAAUAUUAAAAUACUGUAAAUUUUGAUUUAAUUCAAUUAUUAGAGCUUGAGGCAGCGUGACAAUGUGAAAGAAAAUGUCAGAAAAUCUUGGAUGAUGGUGACCAUAUCAGUAAUUUGAGACAGCAAGUUCUCGAAAGGUAAUAGUUGAUGGUACCAAAAAUUAAACCAGCUCUCAACUCGCUACAAAUAGCUGCCAUGGCCUUUCGUUCUACAUUAUAUUUCUUUUUUUACUUUCAUGGAAUCCUCUUUGCCUUCCACCCCAAUCUUGGAUUCUGGUGAAAGUGCAGAGAGGAAAAAUGAAGCAAAAAAUUACAAUGAAGUAAUGUACACCCUUCCAAAAGUUAAAGGCUUGAGGGGGAAUGAUUAUUACCUGUACCAAGGCUUUUGGUACUCUUCCUUCUUCUUGGAAGGACUCAUGUCUGUUCAAGAGCACUUCAAUCCUCAAUCCACUGAUAUAUUUCUCACCAGUUCUCCAAAAACUGGCACAACUUGGCUUAAGGCCCUCGCUUUUGCUAUUCUUACACGAUCCCGUUUAAGUGGUUCAACAACUAGUUCUUUACUUACCAAGAUGCCACAUGACUGUGUUCCUUUUUUGGAAUAUCACCUUGCUCAAAACCCAAGUAAUCGGGACUUGGCAAUUCCCCUGCUAUCUACUCAUGUUCCUUACAGUUGUUUACCUAAAUCUAUCAUUUCUUCUAGUUGCAAGAUUAUUUACAUUUGCAGGGACGCAAAGGAUGCUUUUGUUUCUUUGUGGUGCUUUUUUCCGCGCAUCAAAUGUCGAAAAAUGUUGAACCUCUUCCUCUGGAAGAGGCCUUUGAGAUGUUUUGCAACGGAAUUUCAGUCUUGGGACCAUAUUGGGACCAUGUUUUAGGGUAUUGGAGAGCAAGAUUUGAGUUCCCUGAGAAGAUAUUGUUCUUGACAUACGAGGAAAUGAAGAUAGACACCGCUGCUCAUGUUAAGAAACUAGCUGAGUUCAUGGGUUGUUCUUUCACCUUCGAGGAAGAGGAGGAAGGGGAGGUGCAAAAGAUAAUAAGCAUGUGUAGUUUUGAGAAGUUGAGCAACUUUGAGGUGAAUAAAAAUGGGAAGCACCGUCCCGUCCGGACACAUCAAUUGCUAUUCAAAAUAGUUUAUACUUUAGGAAAGGUGAGAUAGGCGACUGGGCAAAUCACUUGACACCUGAGAUGGGAGCGCGUCUAGAUGACAUAAUGGAGCGGAAGCUCAAGGGUUCAGGCUUGAAGCUGCCCAGGUGACCGUGCCUGGGGUCCCAUUUGCAUAUGAUUAUUGCCGAAGUGGGUUCAUCAAAAGGUGUUAUCAGGAUGUCGUGAAACAGCAACUGUGUAUCCCAAUAAAUACCCUCUCUGUUCAUAGCAAGUAUUCACAUUUUGUGAAUCUUCCAUGUCAAUAAGCAAUAUUCUUUUGUGAAUCUGUGUUUGUGACUUUCAUUGAUUUCCUUGCAUGUUUGUAAGAAUUCAAAAUGGGAUUCGUUUUUUUUUUUUAUUUAACACAAGUGCAUGCAUUCCAUUCAUCAGUUUGAUAAAAAAUAAAUUUACUCUAAUAUAUAAUAUUAGAGUGUUUUCUUCACAGAAAUUGCAGUGUGUUUUUCUUCACAGCUAUACAUGUUUGAAAAGAACCGAGACAACCAUACAUGAGGGUGGAGCAAAGACCAACCGAGACAACCAUCCAUUAAGAUUGUUGAAUUGCAGAUCAAAUGAACGUAGGCGGCACAUCUACUGAAAGGAUCUCGAAAUGCCUUGUAAUUGGUUAAAAUAAAAGAUCAAGAUCUGUAGGAGAACUCGUGUUUUCCACUCCUAAAAUAAGCCCAGUUGCCGGCUUCAUUUGCAACAGAGACACAUAAAGAAUCUGAAAGCAGUUCUUAUGCACUAUCAGCAAAAUAAUUUGACCAGUCAGAAUGAUUUUUUUCCCCCUUACUAGGCUCAGAUCACAAUCCUUCUUACUUCAAACAAAUCUUUUGGAACCGAUAUGUCGAGGGAUGGCUUGAUUUAUACCGGAGAUUUUGAUGGAAACUUAAAGAAGCGUGGCUUAAUUAUACCUUGGAUGCGCAAAUUGAUUACAGGGAAAAAAUGACAGAAAGUGAGUUGCAGGGAAUGAAAAAGGCAUUUGUAAACUCAACACCUUUCAGGGCAUCGUUCCUUGGUUUACUCCCUUUUAUUUCUUAUUUUGUUUUUCCUGCCAUUGUCUAAGUUUUUCUAACUCGCAGUCUGGUCUCUGCAGAGAAUGAGACAGCAAAAACGCUUUAAGAGAAGAUAUUCUCCGGCAACGGCAUCAAACAGAAAAGUCUGACAUCAACUAAGUGCGUGUUUGACACUCCGGUUAUGUUUACAUAAAAAACAUCGUUGUCAUGUGUUUGGUUACAGUCUAAACAUAAUUUUCUGUUUGUGAGACCCGUUAUCAUUUGCUUUUAAACCGCAAGAUAACCAAAAGCAACUUCAAGCUGCCUUUUGUGUUGAGUUGCAAACUUUAUAAACAAAGGCCACAAGAAAAAGAGCAGAAACAUAGCAGUGAAUAGUAAACAGUGGAGAGUAGCUCCCUCUCACCACCGGCAUCCACCGUUUCCACCGCCAGCCACUGCUCUUCCUCUUCCCCUUCUCCUUCUCCUUUAUCUUCUGCAUUGUCCACUGUUCACGUUGCAUGUGAACAGUGGAGAGCAGCUCACCACCGGCCUCCGCUGUUUCCACCGCCAGCCACUACUCUUCCUCUUUCCCUUCCCCUUCUUCUUCUUCUUCUACAUUUUCCACUGUUCACAUGAACAGUGGAGAGCAUCUCCACUAUUCAUGGCCGGAUUGGGUCUGACCCAAACCUAAAUGCAUUGGACUGGGUCCGACCAAGUAAAAUAAAAAAAUCUAAAAACAUUUCUUAGAUAUUGUGUUUUAUUUGAAAAACUAGUGUUUAAAAUUAUUCAAUGACACUAUAUAAUUAUAUUAGAAGGAGAUCGCAUGAUGACAUAGCAUUUGCAGAAUUUGAUUGCAAUCCCAAUUUUGUUCCUAAUGAUAUUUUACCUGAUGUGAUGAUAUUUUACCUGAUGUUGGUAUACGUUCAAGAAGCCAUGAAAACUGUAGUUCUUGUCGGAUGGAUUUCGUACGUGAUUGAAUUGCAAAUAGUUUAAUAAAACAAUAAAAAAUACUUUAUAUAAAGUAUUGUUUAUUUCAUGAUUUAAUAGCAGUAGUUAAAUCUAUAAUAUUUCAAUUAAAAACCAUCAAUAUUAAUAUAUGUUUUUUUUAAUUAUUUUAUAACCUUAAUUUGAAAAAUAUUCUUUAAACCAAACACAUUAAACUACUUUUUGUUCAACCUCAAUUUCAACCACAAUUUUAACCAAAUAUAUAUUUUUUCAAACCAAUCUCAACUAAAAGUAAUUUUUAUAAAACAACUUUUUCAAACUAUAACCACAACAGCUACCACAAUACCAAAUACACAUAAAAAAAACUGUAAUGAUAAGCAAGUUAAAGUGCCACCAUUGAUUUAGGAUCUGCUUUAGAUCUUAUAAGGUGAAAGUAAAACACAAGGAAAUGCAUGCAUGCACACCACUAAUCUUUGAUUCUGGCGAGAACAGUGAUGACUACACUCAGAACCAUAUAGAAUUACAUUCCAAGAUGAAGAAAUUAAUAACAGAGCAGUGCUAUAAAGCUAAAUGUGAGAACCAAAGAUUAAUAAGCAAUGCUGAAAAUUUUAUCAUGCAUAAGAUGAGAGAAGCACAGGACAGAUUUUAUCAAAUCUAUAGUUUUUCUUCAAUAAUAAUAAUAUUUUUUAAAAAUUUAAUAAUAAUAAAAAAAAAAAACUCAUGUUCCUUGGCUCUUUCUCUUGCCAAACUGAAGCUACCAUAGUCAAAUCCAAGUAACUUAGAUGUCACGCUCUUGCUAAACCCAAGUUAUUUGGGUAUGACAUCUCAUGCUGGACUCAUAGCAUUCCAGAUCAAAGGUGUUGAUAUCUAACAAUAAUACCUCACCCGAGCCCUAAGAUGUGAUUGCUUUUCUAGACCCGAGGGCCAAGGCACCAAGACACUAUUCACUAUAAGUCAAGUCAAUGAAUCAAUCAAUCGAUUUUAAAGAUCAAGUUUUUUUUUUAAUAGAGAAACAAAACUUUUAUUAACAUUGAAAUAACUCUUAAAAUCUUAAUAAAAUUAAUUUGAAGUAAAAAUAAUAUUAAAAGAAAUAUUCAGAAGCACUUUUUGAUUGUAAAAUCAAACACACUAAAAUCAUGUAGAUUUUCAUUUAGACAUUAAAAUUCAAGAAGAAAUUAAGUUCACAGUACUAUUAAUUCAAUCGAUGAAGGAUUAGACCCAACUACUUUAGGGCCACCAUUGACAUUGAUUACUUUGAAUAAUUUUAAUUUAUAGGCAUAAAAAAUUAAUACAUAUCUUUAAGAGGAUCAAUUUUAGAUUAUCUCUCUCUCUCUCUCUCUAUUUUUUUUUUGGUUUUCAAAUAUUUGACAUUUUCGUUUAGAUAAGCUCUAGUGUGUGUUUUUUUAAGAUUAUUUUAAAUCAUGUUUCUUGAAAUGUCAAAAACAUUUCAUGGAUUAAUUUAACUUAAUAACGCCAAAGAAUUAGGAAUUAAAACUGACAAUUUCCACCAUGUAAGAGUACCUAAUUGAAAAUUUACUUUCUUAUCAUUUACCUCAAUUAAGCGGAAGCAUGAUCAUGAGAAGGGAUUUGGAGAAAGAAUUAUAAACAGAGAAUAAGAGAAAAUGUAAUGUGUAUAGAUUUUCUUAAUGAAUUAAUUAUGAUACAACAGAAGCUCAUAUAUAUAUAUAUAUACAUUCUAAACUAAUCAGUUAUGAAAUGUUAUUACAAAUAUAAUUUGAAUUUCAAUUUUAAAAUCAUGAUUAGUGCAGGUUUAUCAAUGCAGCAGAAUAUCCAUCAUAAACAAGAAGUUCACAGUUACAAAGUUUGAAUCUUUGUAACUGUAACUCUCUUUUGAAACUCUCUUCUUGGUCUUCAAUAUCCGUUAGCUAGCUGGAGAUGUAACAGUUACAAAGUUUGAAUCUUUGUAACUGUAACUCUCUUCUUGGUCUUCAAUGUCUGUCAGUUACAAAGUUUGAAUCUUUGUAACUGUAACUCUCUUAUGCUUAACAUUCCCCUGCAAACUGAUGGGGAUAGGAAUCACCAUCAAUUUGGACCGUAAAAACAUAAACCUUGCUGUAGUAUGACCUUUGGUGAAGACAUCUGCAAUCUGGUCAUAUGUUGAAAUAUAUCGUACAAGAAUAUCCUUAUUAAGAACUUUUUCACGGAUGAAGUGAUAAUCCACCUCUAUGUGCUUCGUUCGGGCAUGAAAAACAGGAUUAGAGGCAAGAGAUAUUGCACCUACAUUAUCACACCAUAGUGUAGGAGGUGACGACAAUGAAAUGCCAAGAUCUUGCAAUAACAUUCGAAGCCAAUAUAGUUCAGCAGUGACAAGAGCCAUGGAUCGAUAUUCGGCCUCAGUACUGGAUUUAGACACAACACUUUGUUUCUUUGCACUCCAGGAUAUGAGAUUUUGGCCUAGAAACACAAUAUAACCACUUGUAGAUUUUCUAUCAUCAGGAUUCCCAGCCCAAUCUGCAUCACAGAAAGCAUCUAAUGUUGUUGUCGAUUGAGUGUAGUGAAUACCAUAAUCAAUUGUUCCUUUCAAGUAACGAAGAACUCUUUUGGUAGCAAUCCAGUGUGGUUCUCGUGGAGCAUGCAUGAAUUGGCAUAAUUGGUUCACUGCAUAGCUGAUGUCAGGUCUUGUUAAAGUGCAAUAUUGAAGAGCACCAAUAACUUGAUGAUAUUCAGUUGGAUCAUUCAAUAUCCGUUAGCUAGCUGGAGAUGUAACAGUUACAAAGUUUGAAUCUUUGUAACUGUAACUCUCUUAUGCUUAACAUUUGGGAGGCACUUAGAUUAGGCUCUUCUCUAGUCUUGAGAAGCAAAACCAAUAGAGACGUGAUUGCGCACUCCCUGAGCUAUAUAGUAAGUGGCUGCAAACAAAUUGUCAGCACCAAUUCAGGUCCGGAAAAUUAAAGCAUUGAAGCAUAAAAGGUGACCUAACCUAAUUAAGCAAAUUACUACUUAUUCCAGCAUCACCUAGGAGUGAGACAGCCAGCCCAUCCAGUGUCUACAUGGUAAGGGAAUAAUUCCUUCAAGAAUGCAGAGAAAAUUAUACUUGCAAUACAACUAUAAACGAGAUGGUACAGUGCGGAAGGCAAGAUGUUAAAUCAAUUGAUCUUAUUAUAAUACUGUGAAAUAUGAUCAGGACAAAAAAAUAAAUAAAGAAAGAAAGAGUUGUUUAUUUUACAAUGAUCGAUAUGAUGCUUCUUUGCAUGUGGAAUCUUCGUCAAAGACUUGUUGAAAAUGCCAAAUUGUGAUCCACUUUUGGCUGUGUCAAAUGCAUGGGUGGGGCUUCACACAGAGCUAUUACCCCUUGUGUAAACUCAACGCCAGUUUUCAUGAGUUCUUUGGGAUUCUAACAUAGUAAAAAAAAGAAAGAUAAAAUAACAAAGUGUAAAGAAUAUUUAGUGAAAUAGAUAUUCGUGAUUAAUCAGUAGCAAUUAUUAUAUGCUGGCUCUCUCGGGUUUACUUGACAGAAGAUUUAUUAAAAAGAGUUGAUAAAGGAGAAAGAAAAGAAAAGAAAAUCUUCAAGGUAUAUCAAAACUCUGAUAAUAAUAUUAUUGGUAUUGUUAAAAAAAUCUCGACAAGACAAAUCGAAAAAUAACAAUGAAGGUCAUCAAUGACGAUAAAAAUAAGUCAUACGAGUGGCCCAAGAUAAGUGAGUUUUAAUACUUUUGAACAGCUUGUAUGAUUCAUUUUAUUCACUAUUUAUAAUCUUUUUUGAUGCUGUUAAAUUCAUCUUGUAAUGAUGUUGAUAAUGUUAUCAUUAUAAUUUCAAUGUAUUUUUAUUUUUAUUAUUAUUUUUUGUUUUGCUCUCUCUCCUCUCUCAUUGUAAUUUAUGAAGAGUAAGAGAGGGGGAAAAAAAAAACCCUAGUCUUCCAAUUUAAUCUGGCUGAAUACUACUAUCUCAAUCUUAUUCACUACUUUGUCAAAGCAAAGUAGAUUUUUCCUUAAAUAAGAUCUAAUCCACCGGCGGAUAGGUGAUCAAGAAUAUUAAAUUAGUGUAAAACUUGAUUUAAUUCAACAUUAUAAUUAGAGGUGCUAUAAUAAUGUGAAAAAAAGAAUAAAAAAACUAGAUGAUGGCGACCACAUAUCAAUAAUUCCAGACAUCACGUGGAGCACUUUCAUCAUCAUUAUUAUUAUUGGUAUAAUAAUGUUUGUUGUAUUAUUUUUUAAUUGUUAAGUUGUUUACUAUAUGUUAAAAUUUCAAGAUCUUCAAAGAUUGGGAAGAUCGGAUCUAAAGUUACUAUGGGACUGUCUUUAUUUUCCUAUUUGGAUUUUUUUAUUUAUAUUAAGAAUUUAAAUUUAAUUAGUAUUUUAUUAUUUAAAAAUUUUAAUGGUAAAUUGAUUCUAUUAGUUAGGUAAAUUUUAAAUAUAAAUUAUUUUUCUAUACAAAAUUUUAAAUCUAGAACUAAUAUAAAUAAAAAUAUUUAGUUUAUUUUUGUUCGAGGAUUCAUAUUAUUAUUUAAAUUUUUUUAUAAAUAUUUAGAGAUUUUUUCUAAUUUCCUAUGGUGUUAGGGAUUAUAACCUUAAGGUUUGGUUUGAAAUAAUGAUGACAGUUAUUUCUUAAAGUGUUUUUCACUUGAAAAUACAUUAAAAUAAUAUUUUUUUUAUUUUUUAAAUUUUUUUUUGAUAUCAGCAUAUCAAAACAAUUCAAAAACACCAAAAACUUAAUUUGAAAAAAAAUCAAAAUUUAUAAAAACCCCGGUUAAAAUGUUUUACCAAACACUUCUUAGUUUUUAAUAUUAAUACAUCAAAACAAUCCAAAAAUAUUAAUUUAAAAUUUUUAAAAACUCCGGUUGCGUUUGUAAGAUGUGUUGCGGCUCUCAACUUGCUACAAUGGCCUUUCUUUAAUAUUUUAUUUACACCAUUCAUGGAACCCUCUUUGCCUUCCACACAAAUCCCGGAUUUUGGUGAAACUGCUAAGAGGAAAAAUGAAGAGCUUUCCAAAGGCCAUGCUAAAACUACAAAGAAGUGAUCUCUACCUUUCCAGAAGUUAAAGGCUUUUGGGACGUUCCGCUCUUCUUGGGAAGACUCAUGUCAGUUCAAGAACACUACAAGCCUCAAUCCACUGAUAUAUUUGUCGCCAGCUUUCCAAAAACGAAGGAAAUCUUUGGUUAAUGUUCUCUGAAUCUCUCCUUUUCUCCUUCAAGAGUGAAAUUUAUGUGCCUUUCGUACCUUUUUACGUUAGAACAUUUCAUUUGUUCUUGUUUUCUAAAUUGAGUCUUUUCUAUGCGUUUUAUUAUUUUAUUUAUUGGGUAUUUGAGAGUGUAGUAAUAGUUAUAAUUUAAAGUGUUUUUAUUCAAAAAUAUAUUAAAAUAAUAUAUAUUUUUAAUUUUUUAAUAUUCAUCUUUUGACAACAUCACUCCAAAACAUUAGAAAACAUAAAAAAAAAAAAAACAAUUAGAAAACAAUUAGAAAACGCAAGAUUGCAUCAAUGCUAAAUGCAAUAUAUAUAUAUAGGUGCGCGCGCGCGCGUGUGUGAGAGAGAGAGAGAUCCACCUGUGUGUGAAAUGCAUAGUGAUGUUCCACAGCGAGCCAUUAUCUAUUAUGUAAAAUCUCUGAGAAAUGUCAUAGAUCAAUUGGUCGAUAUAGCAAAUUGAUAGGUUAAAGCUGCUCAUAAUCAAUACCUCUAAAAGAUUAUCUUUGGUGGAGAUGAAAACUUUUUGAUAUGUAAAUAAGUAUUUAAAAAAAAAUUAAAUAUUCUAUAAAGAGAUGUUCUGAAAAUACAAAUGCAGUAGAGAAUUGGAGAUUGUGAAUCUUUAUUAUGAAGGUCUCAUGAUAUAUUUAUAGCUCGAAUCUUGUCAUUUUGUGAAAAUAAGAGUUUGCAGUGUAAUUAACCUGAUAACAUUUAAUGAGGAAUAAAUAUCAUUUACAUGAUGGGAAUAUGGUGGGUCCUCGAAGGAGUUUUAUACACCUUAAAAGGUAUCAGAAAAUUAGAGUUUAAGAUAUCAAGUGUAGCUGAGCUUAUAGAGAUCAAGUUCUUUCUUGAGAUUAAAUCCAAGGGAGGUUUGUCAUUCCCCUGGACAUGCCAAGGAAGAAUGGUUAUUAUCUUGGACUUGGUUGGUUGCCAAAUCCAAGCAUCUUGGGCAUGACAUGCGUGCCAGAUCCACACUACCUUGAAGUUGGAGCACUACUAAGUCCAAGCGCCUCGGGUCUGACAUGCAUGCCAGACUUAUACUACGCUGGACUUGGUGCAUUACUAAGUCCAAAUGCCUUGGGUCUGAUAUGCCUGUUAGACCUAUAUUAUCUUGGGCUUGACGCAUUACUAUAUUCAAGCACCUUGAACUUAAUUAAUUGUCAAGUCCAUGCAUCUUAGAUUUAGAUCUAACAUAUACACUAGACUCAUAUUACAUUGAAUCUAGCGCAUUACAAAGUUAUAAUGCCUUGAAUUAAGUAUAUGUGCCACAUCCAUACAUUUUAAAAAACCAAACGAAAACUAAAUAAAAAGUUGACUCAUCGCUAAUCUAUAAAUACUAUCUACAUAAUGGCCUUAGUUGAUAUCUUCUACCGCUUACUACAUUUACUUGAAUAAUGAAAAUGUUUUUUUUUUUUAAUGGAAAAGAGAUUUUAACUCCAUCUUCAAUUACUAUAUAAAUGUUUCCUUGGGUUUUGAAAACGCAAUCAUGCUAAAAAUUUAUUAUCUAAUAUAAAAUAAAAUGUAUUUGUUUUUAUAUUUUAAAAAUGUUUUUUUUUUAAUUUUUUAAUUUUCAUCUUGUUUUGAUGUGUUAAUAUUAAUAAUAAAUUUUAAAAAUAAAAAAAAUAUUAUUUUAAUAUAUUUUUUAAAUUAAAAAUAUUUUAAAAAAUAACUAUUACAACAUUAACGAAUAAGAUUUAAUAUAAAAAACAUUCUAAUUGCAUCAGCUGAGAGGUGAUCAACAAUACCGCAUUCCCGAACUUCACAUCCCUAUAUUAAUGGAUUGUGUUGUGGGCUCCACGCCAUUUAAAGCUUGUAAGAGAAACCACACCUCUAAAUAGAAACCACACGAUCACGCUAAAAGAUUUGCUAUCGAAUAUAAUAUGAAAUAAAACCCAAUUGCAUCAGCGGACAUGUGAUCAAUAAUAUUAAAAUAAGGUAAUAGUUGAUGGGCCACAAAUUAAACCAGCUCUCAACUCGCUACAAAUAGCUGCCAUGGCCUUUCAUUCUACGUUAUAUUUUCAUUUUUUACAUUCAUGGAAUCCUCUUUGCCUUCCACCCAAAUCUCGGAUUCUGGUGACAGUGCAGAGAGGAAAAAUGAAGCUAAAAAUUACAAUGAAGUGAUGUCCACCUUUCCGAAAGUUAAAGGCUUGAAUGGGUAUGAUUAUUACCUGUACCAAGGCUUUUGGUACGCUCCCUUCUUCUUGGAAGGACUCUUGUCUGUUCAAGAGCGCUUCAAUCCUCAAUCCACUGAUAUAUUUGUCGCCAGUUGUCCAAAAACUGGCACAACUUGGCUUAAGGCCCUCACUUUUGCUAUUUUCACACGAUCCCGUUUAAGUGGUUCAACAACUAGUUCUUUACUUACCAAGAUGCCACAUGACUGUGUUCCUUUUUUGGAAUAUCACCUUGCUCAAAACCCCAGUAAUCGGGACUUGGCAAUUCCUCUGGUAUCUACUCAUGUUCCUUGCACUUGUUUACCUAAAUCUAUCAUUUCUUCUUGUUGCAAGAUUAUUUACAUUUCCAGGGACGCAAAGGAUGCUUUUGUUUCUUUGUGGUACUUUCUUGCCAGGCUGCAAAUGUCGAAAAAUGUUGAACCUCUUCCUCUGGAAGAGGCAUUUGAGUUGUUUUGCAAUGGAAUUGCAAAUUUUGGACCAUAUUGGGACCAUGUUUUAGGGUAUUGGAGAGCAAGCUUCGAGUUCCCUGAUAUUGUUCUUGACAUACGAGGAAAUGAAGAAAGACACCGCUGCUCAUGUUAAGAAACUAGCUGAGUUCAUGGGUUGUUCUUUCUGUUGCAUUAAACUCAAUCUAGAAGGUUAAGGAAGGCAACCACCACUUGCAGCCACUAGCUGUCACCGCCUAGCCGCCAGCCGUCUUCAUACUUGAAAGUUGAAUUAUCUUGUUUUUGAAUUCUGUGUAUAAAUAGAUAGCUAAGUGGAUGUUAUUCUGUGUGGAAAGAGAAGAAAGAAACACUAGAGAGAAAGAGAGAGGGAGUGUGUAGCUUUUGUUUAAUUAUUGUAAGCUUUUAUUGUUGAAAUAAAACAGUGUGUUUUAUCUCUUCUGAGUGUUUCAAAGCCACCACCAGUGGUUUCUCCCACCAACAAUUGGUAUCAGAGCCUCGUUCGUCACAAAACACAAGUAUUUUGGGAGAUACACGAAUUUUCAAAGUUGUCAAAAACAAUUUUUGAUCAUUCCACAAUGUAGAGCUCAUCCAUACGAACUCACUGGUGCAAAAAUCAGCUUCAUCGGAGCCCGAGGUGAUCCCCACGCGCCUCCUGAAAUUCCGGUAACUGUAGCCCAGUCUCACCCACGCGCUCCAGAGGUUGAAGACGCCAGAGGUUGAAGACGAGUGUCGUCCACGCGCGCCAUAUUCGAGCCGAUCCCCAGCCGAGCCGAUCUUUAGCCUCAGCCGAGCCGAUAGAAUAUUCCCCAGAAUAUUCCCGGUUCAACCCCAGCGAACCGCCUAACGUCCAGAAUCGGUUUUCAGACCGGUUCAGCCUAUUUCUGACCCAUUUUCAUCCAAGUCAGGCCGGUUCCCUACUGUUUUGAGCAUUCUGGAUCCAUCUACGGUGUCUGUUUUGCCAAAUUCAACUCCCAGAAGGUGAUAUAGUCAUUCAAAAAGCAAAAUGACUACAGAAAAUGCACAAACACUCAUCCCGAAGCUGACCAAAGACAACUAUGAUAGUUGGUGUAUCAGAUUGAAGGCAUUUCUUGGUUUACAAGAGUGUAUAGAGAUUGUGCAAUAUGGUUAUGAUGAACCAGAGUCUAAAGAAGUAGAAGAUACUUUAAAUGAGGCAGAAAAGCAAGUCCUCAAAGCAAAUAGAAAGAAAGACAACAAAGCAAAGACCAUAAUCUAUCAAGGUCUUGACGAAGCUAUAUUCGAAAUUAUUGCUUCCGCAGAAACAUCAAAAGAGAUAUGGGAGGCUCUCCAACAAAAAUACAAAGGUGCUGACAGAAUCAAGAAGAUUCGUCUCCAAUCUUUGCGAGGUGAGUUUGAAUUAUUGCAAAUGAAGGCCUUAGAAUCUAUUUUUGACUAUCACACAAGAAUUAUGGUGAUAGUCAAUCAGAUGAGAAGAAAUGGAGAAGCCCUCACAGAUGCUCGGAUUACAGAGAAAAUUUUGAGAUCCCUAUAUCCAAAAUUUUAUUUUGUUGUUGUCGUUAUUGAAGAGUCCAAAGAAGUGGACAAGUUGAUGGUGGAUGAGCUUAUGAGUUCUUUGCAAGCUCAUGAGCAAAAGAUCGUGAAAAGAAAUGGAGAUAAGGCAAUUGAGCAUGCCUUACAAGCAAAGUUGUCUCUCAAAGACAGAUAUGAGCAAGGGGAGACUUCAAUAAGUGGAUAUACCACUCAAGGAAGAAGUCCACAAAGACGAGGAGGAUUUCAGCAAUUCCAAGGAAGAGGAUCUUGGAAUACAGGUUUUAGAGGAAGAGGUGGCAGAUAUACCACUAGAGGAGGCCGAGGACAACAAUCAUUCACUCCUAAAGGAAGAGGAGGCGGUUACAAUAACCGUGACAAGAGGAAUAUCCAGUGUUAUAAGUGCAAUCAAUUUGGGCACUAUAGCAUUGAAUGUCAAAGGAAAGCUCCAUUAGAGGUACGUGAGCAUGCAAACUAUGCAGAGGAGGAUGCCAACAGCAGAGGAGCAGCUGCAUUAUUUGUCCAACAAGGACUUGACAAGAAUCAAGAGAAUAUUUGGUAUCUUGAUUCUGGAGCCAGCAAUCACAUGUGUGGCCAACGAGAUCUAUUUGGCGAUCUAGAUGAGACCAUACAAGGUCUAGUCACCUUUGGAGAUACAUCAAAAGUUCCAUUCAAAGGUAAAGGCAACAUCCCAAUCAAGUUGAAGAAUGGCGAUCAUAGCUACAUCGCCAAUGUCUACUAUGUCCCAGCCAUAAAGCAAAACUUGGUGAGCAUAGGUCAACUUCUAAAGAAAGGUUAUACACUUUUCAUGAAGAAUUGUCAUCUGACAGUUACAGACUACAAUGGGAGAUUAAUUGCCUAUGUGAAAAUGUCCAAGAAUAGGAUGUUUCCUUUAAACAUCCAAUAUGAUGCAGCAAAGUAUUUGAGUGCCAUCACCAACAGUGAAGAGUGGCUUUGGCACCUGAGGCUUGGACAUCUGAAUUUCACAAGUCUGAAGAUGCUAGCAAGCAAGAAGAUGGUCAAAGGUAUGCCCCACAUUGAUCAUCCAGAUGAAGUCUGUGAGAGUUGUGUCCUCAGCAAACAUCACAGAUCCAAUUUUGCCAAAGAAGUCAACUGGAAAGCAAACAAGCCACUGGAGUUAGUGCACACAGAUGUGUGUGGUCCCAUAAAGCCUAUGUCGACUGGACCAAAUAGGUACUUCCUUACUUUCAUUGAUGAUUUUAGCAGAAAGACGUGGAUAUACUUUCUGAAGAGGAAGUUAGAAGUGUUCAAUUGUUUUAAAGAUUUUAAAGCAAUUGUUGAGAAGCAAAGUGGCUAUAAGAUCAGAACCGUGAGAUCUGAUCAAGGUGGAGAAUAUACAGCAAAUGACUUUGAAGCCUUUUGUACACAACAAGGCAUCAAACAUCAGACAACACCAGCUUAUACACCACAGCUGAAUGGUGUAGCUGAAAGAAAGAAUCGAACGAUUCUUGACAUGGCGAGAAGUCUACUCAAAGCAAAGAAGCUGCCCAAACAAUACUAGGCUGAAGCUGUAUCAUGUGCAGUGUAUCUACUGAAUCGCUGCCCAACCAAAAGUUUGCAAGCUGUCACUCCACAAGAAGCAUGGAGUGGUCACAAACCAAGUGUUACUCAUCUUCGAGUCUUUGGUUGUGUGGCAUAUGCAAAGAUCCCAGAUGCAAGAAGGACCAAACUCGAUGAUAAAAGCGAGAAAUGCAUCUUUGUCGGAUAUGGUGAGAGAAAGAUGGGAUACAAGCUGUAUAAUCUCAUCACAAAGAAGGUAAUUAUGAGUAGAGAUGUUAUCUUUGAAGAAGAUAAAACAUGGCAAUGGAAGGAUGACCAAGAAGCAGUCAAAUGGAUCAGCACUGAUUUGAUCCUUGAAGAUGAAGUGGAAGUACCACCAGUACUUGCAGAAGGUCUGAUAUUACCGGCAGAUGAGCCACAAAGUUCGGUACACAGAUUCCCUGUAUUCAACAGGAGAAACACACCAGAAUCAUCAUCAGCAUCCUCAUCAGAAGGACCAAGAAGGAUGAGAAAUCUAGACGAGUUGUACGAUGUCAUGCAAGUCAUGGAAGAUACAACUCUAUUUUGUUUCUUUACAGAUACUGACCCACUUAGCUUCAAUGAAGUUAUCAAAGAAGAGAAGUGGAUAUAAGCAAUGGAUGAAGAAAUACAUGCUAUUGAGAAGAAUGACACCUGGAAGCUGACUAAUCUACUAGAAAACAAGAAAGCAAUAGGUGCCAAAUGGGUCUAUAAGACAAAGAAGAAUGCAAAAGGAGAAGUGCAAAGAUACAAAGCAAGAUUAGUAGCAAAAGGCUACAAAUAAAGAGAAGGCAUUGACUAUGGAGAAGUAUUUGCUCCAGUAGCCCGGCUAGAGACAAUCAGACUGAUGAUCUCACUAGCUGCACAACAUAGAUGGAAGAUCUAUUAACUCGAUGUGAAGUCAGCAUUUCUGAAUGGCUUCCUAGAAGAAGAGAUCUAUGUUGAACAACCACUUGGAUACAUCGAAGCUGAAAAUGACGGCAAAGUAUACAAGUUGAAGAAAGCUCUCUACGGUUUGAAGCAAGUUCCGCGUGCUUGGAAUACCAGAAUUGACAGGUAUUUUCAAGAAAAUGAAUUUGAAAAAUGUCCAUAUGAACACGCAAUAUAUGUGAAGAAAGAAGCAGAUAACAACAUAUUAUUUGUGUGCCUAUAUGUUGAUGAUUUGCUAUUCACCGGCAACAACCCAACCAUGUUUGAAGCCUUCAAGAAAAGCAUGGUACAAGAGUUUGAGAUGACAGACAUUGGUCUGAUGGCACACUUUCUUGGCUUAGAAGUGGUGCAGAAAGAAGAAGGGAUUUUUGUAUCCCAAAGCAGUUAUGCCAAAGACAUUCUUGAAAGGUUCAAGAUGGAAAGCUGCAAUCCGGUAUCAACUCCAGUUGAGAAUGGAGUAGAAUUGAGGAAGAGUAAAGUUGGAAAUGUUGAUCCAACUUACUUCAAAAGCUUAGUAGGAAGCUUAAGGUACUUGACAUGUACCAGACCGGAUAUACUCUACGGAGUUGGUCUUAUCAGCAGAUACAUGGAGACACCAGACCAGUCUCACUUGAAUGCAGCCAAGAGAAUUCUUCGCUACAUCAAAGGAACAAUCAAUGAAGGUAUGUUUUAUACCUCAAGUACAAACUUCAAUCUUGUUGGCUACUCGGAUAGUGAUUGGGGUAGAGAUCUGGAUGAAAGGAAAAGCACAACAGGGUUUGUCUUUUUCAUGGGAAAUACAUUUUUCACAUGGUCAUCCAAGAAGCAAUCGAUAGUAACGUUAUCAAGCUGUGAAGCUGAGUAUGUUGCUGCCAACUCAGCUGUAUGCCAUUUAAUAUGGUUAAGAAAUAUGCUGAAGCAUUUGGGAUUUCCUCAAGAAGAUCCCACAGAGAUUUAUAUUGAUAAUCGAUCAGCGAUUGCAUUAGCAAAGAACCCGGUGUAUCAUGAACGAAGUAAACACAUUGAUACACGUCAACACUUUAUCCGAGAGCAUAUAAAGAACAAAGAAGUCGAGCUGAUAUCCUGCAAGACAAAUGAUCAAGUUGCAGAUAUCUUUACAAAGCCAUUGAAGGGAGAAACAUUUAUCAGACUGAAGUUCAUACUUGGCGUGACAUCCCUCGAUUAAGUUUAAAGGGGGGAUUUGUUGCAUUAAACUCAAUCUAGAAGGUCAAGGAAGGCAACCACCACUUGCAACCACCAGCUGUCACCGCCCAGCCACAAACCGCCCAGCCGCCAGCCACUAGCUGUAUGCCGCCAGCCUCCAGCCGCCUUCACACUUGAAGGUUGAAUUAUCUUGUUUUUGAAUUCGUGUAUAAAUAGGUAGCUAAGUGGAUGUUAUUCUGUGUGGAAAGAGAAGAAAGAAACACUAGAGAGAAAAGAGAGGGAGUGUGUAGCUUUUGUUUAAUUAUUGUAAGCUUUUAUUGUUGAAAUAAAACAGUGUGUUUUAUCCCCUCUGAGUGUUUCAAAGCCACCACCAGUGGUUUCUCCCACCAACACUUUCACCUUAGAGGAAGAGGAGGAAGGGGAGGUGCAAAAGAUAAUAAGCAUGUGUAGUUUUGAGAAGUUGAGCAACUUGGAGGUGAAUAAAAAUGGGAAGCACCGUCCGGACACAUCAAUUGCUAUUCAAAACAGUGUAUACUUCAGGAGAGGUGAGAUAGGCGACUGGGCAAAUCACUUGACACCUGAAAUGGGAGCACGUCUAGAUGACAUAAUGGAGCAGAAACUCAAGGGUUCAGGCUUGAAGCUGCCGAGGUGAAUGUGCCUAGGGUCCCAUUUGCUUGUGAUUAUUGCCGAAGCGGGUUCAUCAAAAGCUGUUAUCAACAUCUCGUGAAACAGCAACUGUGUAUCCCAAUAAAUACCCUCUCUGUUCAUCUCUUGUAUUUCCCAGCAAGUAUUCACAUUUUGUGAAUCAUCCAUGUCAAUAAGCA